UCUCAACUGCGACUAUCAAGUUGAGACAUUUUCCAUGUCUCUUUUCUUCCUGUUAAUCUUUGCUCUCUUCUCCGAAAAACCCAAUUCUUGGAAAAUAAACUUCAAAGGAUACACUUUUCUUCUCAUUCUCUUCUUCAGUGAUCUGUGAUCGAUUUCAGUUACAGGGUUGAUGUAAGAUUUGCAUAACUUGAUACCGAUGUUGGUUUUCAGAGGCUGAAGCUGCCAGCAUGAUCUGCUUCAUUCACUCAAACACCAACAAUGGCAAAACGUCAAACUUAAUUUUCAUGAGAAAAGCGACUCCCUCUUGGCUUUGACUUUUACGACUCCAAUAUCAUCAUCAUAACAUCAUUAGAGCGAUCGGCAUUGGGAUUAUCUGGGUUGAUCUGCAAUUGUAGCCUUUGUUCGAAUAUCCAUAAUAGGGAAGACGCAUGAUGGAUUGUAUAAAGAUUAAUUAUGAAGAUUAUACUUCCUCAUACUUUCAUCUGAAGGUUGUAUUUUAAUUCGUAGUUGGUUU
Long non-coding RNA from Eutrema salsugineum, 514 nucleotides. RefSeq lists it as uncharacterized. The transcript is spliced from 3 exons. NCBI's taxonomy places the organism in Eukaryota, Viridiplantae, Streptophyta, Magnoliopsida, Brassicales, Brassicaceae. The record is from RefSeq and is a predicted model, not a curated record.